Arabidopsis lyrata subsp. lyrata is the source of this 627-nucleotide long non-coding RNA. RefSeq lists it as uncharacterized. NCBI's taxonomy places the organism in Eukaryota, Viridiplantae, Streptophyta, Magnoliopsida, Brassicales, Brassicaceae. The transcript is spliced from 3 exons. The record is from RefSeq and is a predicted model, not a curated record.
UGGUGGCUUACGAUAUCGGGGAUAAAUUCAACAGAUCUUCGAGUUUCGAUUCAAAAUCGGUGACAAUCGGUUUGUAAAGGUUUCUACGUUUAGCAACUUAUUAUUUUCAGACUCCAUCUUGCUCUCUUCAGAAUGGGAAAGACUCCUGGUGAAUGGAUCAAGACAUUGCUUCUCGGGAAGAAGUCUCCCAAGUCGAAUUCGGAACACUGAAGCCAGAAACUGAAAUCUGCUAAGAAAGAAAAGCUGGUGGUGUCGGUGACAGAAGAUUUUUCAAACUUAACUCAACUGUUGAUCUUCCAGUGGUUUCAUCACAACCAGUUCCAGCUUCUACUGCUCACAAUGUGGUUUCUCCAGUCAAUGGCGAUGAUGCUGUUUUUUUUUCAUGUACUGAAGGCAAGUGCAUCUAUCUUUAUGUGAUUUGAGGUAUCUAUAUAAGUGGAGGUCUAUCAGUUCUUUGCACAACUAUCAGUCUAUCACCAUAUGUGAUAUUAUCGUGGGAAUUAUAAUGUUCUCUGUUUACAUGCUGUUUUAUGCUUACUUCUGUUUUAUGCUUCUCAAUUUAAUAUAAUGUUCUCUGUUUUACUGCAAGGAGUAUAUGGAGAUACUUGGGGAGCUGGAAUCUGUUAG